This 334-nucleotide unclassified non-coding RNA is filed under the name soil metagenome. RNAcentral describes it as "partial contains 5.8S ribosomal RNA, internal transcribed spacer 2, and large subunit ribosomal RNA". The stretch from base 1 to 120 matches the Rfam family "5.8S ribosomal RNA", at positions 35 to 154 of the family's 154-position model. The record is from RNAcentral.
GAUGAAGAACGUAGCGAAAUGCGAUAAGUAAUGUGAAUUGCAGAAUUCAGUGAAUCAUCGAAUCUUUGAACGCACAUUGCGCCCAUUAGCAUUCUAGUGGGCAUGCCUGUUCGAGCGUCAUUUCAACCCUUAAGCCCUGUUGCUUAGCGUUGGGAGCCUACAGUACUGUAGCUCCCCAAAGUUAGUGGCGGAGUCGGUUUCACACUCUAGACGUAGUAAUUUUUUCUCGUCUGUAGUUGAGCCGGUCCCCUGCCGUAAAACACCCAAUUUAUCAAGGUUGACCUCGGAUCAGGUAGGAAUACCCGCUGAACUUAAGCAUAUCAAUAAGCGAGGA